CCAAUCUUGAGUAAGAUACUUAGCCUUUCUGUGACUGUUUCCUCGAUUGUAAAGUUCAGUUAUUUUUUUUUUUUUUUUUGGUUCUUUUUUUCGGAGCUGGGGACCGAACCCAGGGCCUUGCGCUUCCUAGGUAAGCGCUCUACCACUGAGCUAAAUCCCCAGCCCCGUAAAGUUCAGUUAUUAAUGACAGUACUUUCUCCAUGAAAUUAGACAAUGGGGCAGGGGUGCUGGGCACACAGCUCUGUGGUACAGUCUGUGCCUAGCAUGCUUAAGGUCCUGGCACCAGAAAUAAACGAAUUAAGCUGUGCUGGGGCAUGCUUUUGUUAUAUCCCAGCUCUUGGGAGACAGAGAUAAGUGGGUUUCUGUGAGUUCAAGGCUAGCCAGAACUACAGUGAGACCCUGUCUCAAAAAUAAGUUAGAUGACAGCCUUCUACUUGUCCAUUGCUUGGUUUAGUUAAUUCUCAAUAAAAUGCUACUUCUACCUCUGGA
Molecule: long non-coding RNA, 489 nt
Filed under: Rattus norvegicus (Norway rat)
Lineage: Eukaryota; Metazoa; Chordata; Mammalia; Rodentia; Muridae
Description: long non-coding RNA NONRATT004557
Source: RNAcentral